RNAcentral lists this non-coding RNA (26 nucleotides) under Cricetulus griseus (Chinese hamster). Lineage: Eukaryota; Metazoa; Chordata; Mammalia; Rodentia; Cricetidae. The record is from RNAcentral.
AGUUAAGUGAGUCUUUGUGUUUGAUA